This 143-nucleotide unclassified non-coding RNA is filed under the name soil metagenome. RNAcentral's name for it is "partial internal transcribed spacer 1". The record is from RNAcentral.
UCAAAACAGCGGACUUCGGUCCUUGCUGCACCACUUGUCUUUUGCGCUACCGUAUUGUUUCCUCGGCGGGGCUUGCCUGCCGGUGGACAUUAUCAAAACCUUUUUGUAGUUGGCAAUCAGCGUCAGAAAACAAUAAUUAAUUA